GGCCUCCUGUAGUUUACCAUGGCCUGUGUCCUCACACCAACCGUGUGGACAGAGGAGGGGCAGUAAACCUACCCCACAUACACCCUAGCCCAGGGCCUGUGCCUGGUUUAUAUUGUGAAGGGGGGAAGAUGC
This is a small nucleolar RNA of Prolemur simus (greater bamboo lemur), 132 nucleotides long. NCBI's taxonomy places the organism in Eukaryota, Metazoa, Chordata, Mammalia, Primates, Lemuridae. The record is from Ensembl.